UACGUAGGGCGCAAGCGUUGUCCGGAAUUAUUGGGCGUAAAGAGCUCGUAGGCGGCUUGUCACGUUGGGUGUGAAAGCCCGGGGCUUAACCCCGGGUCUGCAUUCGAUACGGGCAGGCUAGAGUGUGGUAGGGGAGAUCGGAAUUCCUGGUGUAGCGGUGAAAUGCGCAGAUAUCAGGAGGAACACCGGUGGCGAAGGCGGAUCUCUGGGCCAUUACUGACGCUGAGGAGCGAAAGCGUGGGGAGCGAACAGG
Molecule: ribosomal RNA, 253 nt
Filed under: uncultured bacterium
Lineage: Bacteria
Description: partial 16S ribosomal RNA
Rfam family: Bacterial small subunit ribosomal RNA
Source: RNAcentral